This 69-nucleotide transfer RNA is filed under the name Ictidomys tridecemlineatus (thirteen-lined ground squirrel). RNAcentral's name for it is "Spermophilus tridecemlineatus (thirteen-lined ground squirrel) tRNA". It matches the Rfam family "tRNA". From Rfam's summary of the family: Transfer RNA (tRNA) molecules are approximately 80 nucleotides in length. Their secondary structure includes four short double-helical elements and three loops (D, anti-codon, and T loops). Lineage: Eukaryota; Metazoa; Chordata; Mammalia; Rodentia; Sciuridae. The record is from Rfam by way of RNAcentral.
GGCUGUAGCUCACUGGUAGGGCACUUGUCUAGCAUGCCUGAGGCCCUGGGUUCAAUCCCCAGCAUGCCA